RNAcentral lists this ribosomal RNA (303 nucleotides) under uncultured bacterium. RNAcentral describes it as "bacterial SSU rRNA". It matches the Rfam family "Bacterial small subunit ribosomal RNA", at positions 355 to 675 of the family's 1533-position model. The record is from RNAcentral.
UGAGGGAUAUUGGUCAAUGGGGGAAACCCUGAACCAGCAACGCCGCGUGAGGGAAGACGGUUUUCGGAUUGUAAACCUCUGUCCUCUGUGAAGAUGAUGACGGUAGCAGAGGAGGAAGCUCCGGCUAACUACGUGCCAGCAGCCGCGGUAAUACGUAGGGAGCGAGCGUUGUCCGGAUUUACUGGGUGUAAAGGGUGCGUAGGCGGCUAGGCAAGUCAGAAGUGAAAUCCAUGGGCUUAACCCAUGAACUGCUUUUGAAACUGCGUAGCUUGAGUGAAGUAGAGGUAGGCGGAAUUCCCGGUG